GGGGACCUUCGGGCCUUGCGCUAUCAGAUGAGCCUAGGUCGGAUUAGCUAGUUGGUGAGUUUAUGCCUCACCAAGGCGACGAUCCGUAACUGGUCUGAGAGGAUGAUCAGUCACACUGGAACUGAGACACGGUCCAGACUCCUACGGGAGGCAGCAGUGGGGAAUAUUGGACAAUGGGCGAAAGCCUGAUCCAGCCAUGCCGCGUGUGUGAAGAAGGUCUUCGGAUUGUAAAGCACUUUAAGUUGGGAGGAAGGGUUGUAGAUUAAUACUCUGCAAUUUUGACGUUACCGACAGAAUAAGCACCGGCUAACUCUGUGCCAGCAGCCGCGGUAAUACAKAGGGUGCAAGCGUUAAUCGGAAUUACUGGGCGUAAAGCGCGCGUAGGUGGUUUGUUAAGUUGGAUGUGAAAUCCCCGGGCUCAACCUGGGAACUGCAUUGAAAACUGGCUGAACUAGAGUGUGGAAGAGGGUGGUGGAAUUCCUGUGUAGCGGUGAAAUGCGUAGAGAUGUGGAGGAACACCAGUGGCGAAGGCGGCUUUUUGGUCUGUAACUGACGCUGAGGCGCGAAAGCGUGGGGAGCAAACAGGAUUAGAUACCCUGGUAGUCCACGCCGUAAACGAUGAGUGCUAAGUGUUAGAGGGUUUCCGCCCUUUUAGUGGCGCAGCUAACGCAUUAAGCACUCCGCCUGGGGAGUACGGUCGCAAGACUGAAACUCAAAGGAAUUGACGGGGGCCCGCACAAGCGGUGGAGCAUGUGGUUUAAUUCGAAGCAACGCGAAGAACCUUACCAGGUCUUGACAUCC
Molecule: ribosomal RNA, 801 nt
Filed under: Pseudomonas cedrina
Lineage: Bacteria; Pseudomonadati; Pseudomonadota; Gammaproteobacteria; Pseudomonadales; Pseudomonadaceae
Description: bacterial SSU rRNA
Rfam family: Bacterial small subunit ribosomal RNA
Source: RNAcentral